GAUUUAAAUAAAAUUUUAUUUAAAAUUAUUUGUAUAAAUUAAAGUAAAAAUUAUUUAAAUAAUUAUUUGAAUUAUAAAAAUAGUAAUGUAAAUGAAUUAAUAAAAAUUUAAUUAAAGUAAUUUUUAUUUAUUGUACCUUUUGUAUCAGGAUUUAUAAAAAAUAUAAUUUUUAAAUAAAAAAUUUUUCAAUUAAAAAAGAGUUAAAUUAAUAUAAAUUUUAAUGUUAAAAAAUUAUUUUAAAUAGUUAAUUUAGAGAAGAAAUUUUAUUCAAUUUUUUAAAUAUUUAAUUUUUUUUGAUAUUAAUUGAAUUUAAUAUAAAUAAUAUUGAUUUUUAAAAUAAUAAAAUAAAUAAUUAAUUUAUAUAAAAAAUAUAUGGGAUAAUCUAUAUUUUUUUUUAAAAAAAAUGGAAAUUUAAAUAAAAAAUAUUUUUAAAAUUGAAAUAUUUUUGAAAAAAAUUUAAUAAUUUAUUAAAAAUUUAUUUAAUAUUUAAUAUUAAUUUUUUUAAUUUUUUAAAGAAAUAUAUUAAUUAAUUAUUGAAUUAAUAAAAAUAAUGAUAAAAUUAGUAUUUAAAUUUUUUAUUUAAAUUUAGAAAUAUAUUUUUAAUAUUUAAUAAAAGAAUUAGGCAAUUUAAAUUAUUUAUAUAAAAAUAAAUUAAAUUCACCUGUUUAAUAAAAACAUGGUUUUAAGAUUAAAAUUUAAAAUUUAUUCUGCUCAAUGAUUAAAAUUAAAUAGCUGCAGUAUUUUAACUGUACAAAGGUAGCAUAAUAAAUUGUUUUUUAAUUGAAGACUAGAAUGAAGGAAUAGAUGAAAUUUAAACUAUUUAAAAUAUUUUAUGAAAAAUUAUAAUUUAAGUUAAAAUUCUUAGAUAAUAUUAUGGGACGAGAAGACCCUAUAGAAUUUUAUAUAUAAUUUUUAUUAUUAAAAUUUAAAUAUUUUAAAAAUAUUAUAUUUAAUUGGGGGGAUGAUAAAAUGUAAUUAACUUUUAUUUUAAAUUUAAAAAUUUAAAUAAAACAUUAAUUUAUGAGUUUAUAAGAAUUUAUAAAAUUUUAUUUUUAUAAAUAGUUAGAAUUAAUUACCUUAGGGAUAACAGCGUUAUAAUUUUUUAAAGAUCUUAUUUAAAAGAAUGAUUGCGACCUCGAUGUUGAAUUAAAAUAAAAAUUAAAUGAAAAAAUUUAAAUGUUUUAGUCUGUUCGACUAUUAAAAUUUUACAUGAUUUGAGUUAAGAUCGGUGUAAACCAGAUUGGUUUUUAUCUAUAAUUAAUUAAAAUAAUUUUGUACGAAAGGACUUUUUAUUUGAAAUAAUUUUAUUAUUUAUUUAAAUUAGAGUAAUUUUAAUUGAAUUUAAAAU
RNAcentral lists this ribosomal RNA (1348 nucleotides) under Acropyga goeldii. RNAcentral describes it as "16S ribosomal RNA". Lineage: Eukaryota; Metazoa; Arthropoda; Insecta; Hymenoptera; Formicidae. The record is from RNAcentral.